CAAAUGUAGGCUAAAUCCCGGGUCUCCGGGGCGUGAUUUUAAAACAAAUUCCGUGCCAUGCCCGGGGGUUGCCCGUGAGUUGCCCGGGGGUCGACCCCCCGGGAAAGCCGCUGAUACCUGCAUAAUCGUUGUUUACUGUUUAUUUUGUAUUCAGGUAUGGGGAAUUUAAGCGAUGAGAGUUGUAAAACUUGCAAAUGUAGUCCGACUAGUUUCUUUGACGUCAUCAUGCAACUAUUUAAUAUUGUGCCAUAUUCAUUAUUCAAUUUAUUCACAGCAAUUAGCCUUCUAUAAGCCAUACAAACGAUUAUAGCUUAUAGCCCACCUUGCCUUUAACAUUGAUCCUAUAUAUAAUGAAUUAACAUAGCUAACUUGAUUAUGUUGCUAGUCAAGUAUGGGACCUAUGGGUCUUCUAGAUCCUAGAGUAGCACUUCUGUAAUUAAUAUAAAUUCUCCGUAAGGCGGUAAUAUUAAUUAAGACUGUUCUUAUUUAUGCAUGACCUUUGACUAUUAAGUGGCCAAAAAUUGUGCCUACAGUAAUCAACUUAUUCCACUAUCCAGGUUGCAUCACUUUUGAUUGCAAAACACCCAGGUUUAUUAUACAUGGAUUUGCUAGCAAAAUAGCAGCAAUUGAUGAACUUGGUGUUGUUGUGUAAAGAAACAACGAAAAGUAUAUAUCAAUCAGAGUCAUUAUCUUGAUCAAUUUCCGAUGGGAUCUCCAAAGAAAGUAGCUACAUGUGCGGACAACAUGAAACUUCAGACUGCAGAAAAUUUCACAAUCCGUUAUCAAAACUUAUGUCACAGAAGUGGUAUUUAAAAGGACAUAUGUGACAACUGAAUGGUACCUUUUGUAAAUGUUUUGGCCAGGGGUGGGUAUUUAUUUUUUAAUUGAUAUUUGAGGUUGAGUAAUCAAUUUUUUUUACUUUUUAAUGGUUGGG
Molecule: non-coding RNA, 934 nt
Organism: Paramuricea clavata
Lineage: Eukaryota; Metazoa; Cnidaria; Anthozoa; Malacalcyonacea; Plexauridae
Source: the annotation of a GenBank genome assembly